GGGCGUUCUCCUUUCUAUGUUAGGUUUCCUAUUUGGACAAUGAUUGAAAGUUCAAAAUUAGUUUGAACUAAUGUCCUAAUUAAAUUAGGUCAUGGGGUGCCACAUCUAUAAAAUGAGGACCUCUUAACCAUCGGUGGAAUAAAAAUUUUGUGCAGCAAAAAACUCUUAAAACCACUGUGAGAAAAAGAGAUCGUGAGAG
RNAcentral lists this long non-coding RNA (199 nucleotides) under Elaeis guineensis (African oil palm). RNAcentral's name for it is "long non-coding RNA (EGUI_LNC038118)". Lineage: Eukaryota; Viridiplantae; Streptophyta; Magnoliopsida; Arecales; Arecaceae. The record is from RNAcentral.